UGCUCCGAGGAGCGUUGCAGCGAACCGGUGGCCUGUUAUCUGUCAGGCUGGUUUGCGAGGCUCGGACUUCAUGCACGCGUGAUGUGGCUUCGCCGUCUGGCGCCCGACACUCCAUGCAUUCGCAACGACGCUCAUCCGCC
This 140-nucleotide non-coding RNA is filed under the name Lampropedia cohaerens. Its description in RNAcentral is "SAH (S-adenosyl-L-homocysteine) riboswitch aptamer". It matches the Rfam family "SAH (S-adenosyl-L-homocysteine) riboswitch aptamer". Lineage: Bacteria; Pseudomonadati; Pseudomonadota; Betaproteobacteria; Burkholderiales; Comamonadaceae. RNAcentral also lists the same sequence under 1 other name. The record is from Rfam by way of RNAcentral.